Molecule: transfer RNA, 127 nt
Filed under: Trichoplax adhaerens
Lineage: Eukaryota; Metazoa; Placozoa; Uniplacotomia; Trichoplacea; Trichoplacidae
Description: tRNA-Tyr for anticodon GUA
Rfam family: tRNA
About the family: Transfer RNA (tRNA) molecules are approximately 80 nucleotides in length. Their secondary structure includes four short double-helical elements and three loops (D, anti-codon, and T loops). Further hydrogen bonds mediate the characteristic L-shaped molecular structure. tRNAs have two regions of fundamental functional importance: the anti-codon, which is responsible for specific mRNA codon recognition, and the 3' end, to which the tRNAs corresponding amino acid is attached (by aminoacyl-tRNA synthetases). tRNAs cope with the degeneracy of the genetic code in two manners: having more than one tRNA (with a specific anti-codon) for a particular amino acid; and 'wobble' base-pairing, i.e. permitting non-standard base-pairing at the 3rd anti-codon position.
Source: Rfam by way of RNAcentral
CCUUCGAUAGCUCAGUUGGUAGAGCGGAGGACUGUAGAUGAAUUGUACCAGUCCGCAGUAUGUGCUAAGUACUGUGUAAAUGGUAACAGAUAUCCUUAGGUCGCUGGUUCGAAUCCGGCUCGAAGGA